RNAcentral lists this ribosomal RNA (1521 nucleotides) under metagenome. RNAcentral describes it as "bacterial SSU rRNA". It matches the Rfam family "Bacterial small subunit ribosomal RNA". The record is from RNAcentral.
AGAGUUUGAUCAUGGCUCAGAUUGAACGCUGGCGGCAGGCCUAACACAUGCAAGUCGAACGGUAACAGGAAGAAGCUUGCUUCUUUGCUGACGAGUGGCGGACGGGUGAGUAAUGUCUGGGAAACUGCCUGAUGGAGGGGGAUAACUACUGGAAACGGUAGCUAAUACCGCAUAACGUCGCAAGACCAAAGAGGGGGACCUUCGGGCCUCUUGCCAUCGGAUGUGCCCAGAUGGGAUUAGCUAGUAGGUGGGGUAACGGCUCACCUAGGCGACGAUCCCUAGCUGGUCUGAGAGGAUGACCAGCCACACUGGAACUGAGACACGGUCCAGACUCCUACGGGAGGCAGCAGUGGGGAAUAUUGCACAAUGGGCGCAAGCCUGAUGCAGCCAUGCCGCGUGUAUGAAGAAGGCCUUCGGGUUGUAAAGUACUUUCAGCGGGGAGGAAGGGAGUAAAGUUAAUACCUUUGCUCAUUGACGUUACCCGCAGAAGAAGCACCGGCUAACUCCGUGCCAGCAGCCGCGGUAAUACGGAGGGUGCAGGCGUUAAUCGGAAUUACUGGGCGUAAAGCGCACGCAGGCGGUUUGUUAAGUCAGAUGUGAAAUCCCCGGGCUCAACCUGGGAACUGCAUCUGAUACUGGCAAGCUUGAGUCUCGUAGAGGGGGGUAGAAUUCCAGGUGUAGCGGUGAAAUGCGUAGAGAUCUGGAGGAAUACCGGUGGCGAAGGCGGCCCCCUGGACGAAGACUGACGCUCAGGUGCGAAAGCGUGGGGAGCAAACAGGAUUAGAUACCCUGGUAGUCCACGCCGUAAACGAUGUCGACUUGGAGGUUGUGCCCUUGAGGCGUGGCUUCCGGAGCUAACGCGUUAAGUCGACCGCCUGGGGAGUACGGCCGCAAGGUUAAAACUCAAAUGAAUUGACGGGGGCCCGCACAAGCGGUGGAGCAUGUGGUUUAAUUCGAUGCAACGCGAAGAACCUUACCUGGUCUUGACAUCCACGGAAGUUUUCAGAGAUGAGAAUGUGCCUUCGGGAACCGUGAGACAGGUGCUGCAUGGCUGUCGUCAGCUCGUGUUGUGAAAUGUUGGGUUAAGUCCCGCAACGAGCGCAACCCUUAUCCUUUGUUGCCAGCGGUCCGGCCGGGAACUCAAAGGAGACUGCCAGUGAUAAACUGGAGGAAGGUGGGGAUGACGUCAAGUCAUCAUGGCCCUUACGACCAGGGCUACACACGUGCUACAAUGGCGCAUACAAAGAGAAGCGACCUCGCGAGAGCAAGCGGACCUCAUAAAGUGCGUCGUAGUCCGGAUUGGAGUCUGCAACUCGACUCCAUGAAGUCGGAAUUGCUAGUAAUCGUGGAUCAGAAUGCCACGGUGAAUACGUUCCCGGGCCUUGUACACACCGCCCGUCACACCAUGGGAGUGGGUUGCAAAAGAAGUAGGUAGCUUAACCUUCGGGAGGGCGCUUACCACUUUGUGAUUCAUGACUGGGGUGAAGUCGUAACAAGGUAACCGUAGGGGACCUGCGGUUG